RNAcentral lists this ribosomal RNA (375 nucleotides) under Podisma pedestris. Its description in RNAcentral is "partial 12S ribosomal RNA". Lineage: Eukaryota; Metazoa; Arthropoda; Insecta; Orthoptera; Acrididae. The record is from RNAcentral.
CUAUUAUUUUAAGUGUUAAUUAUAUUCACCAGGGUAGUAUUAGUUAUAAUCUUUAAACCCAAAGAAUUUGGCGGUAUCUUAUUCCAUUCAGAGGAACCUAUCCCAUGAUUGAUAAUACACGAUUAACUUUACUUAAUUUAUUUGUUUGUAUAUCUCCGUUAUCAGAAAAUCUUUUUAGAGUUUAAAUUUUCUAAAUUUAUAAUUAUAAAUUAUUUCAGGUCAAGGUGCAGCUUAUAAUUAAGAGGAGAUGGGUUACAAUAGAUUUUUUCUAUAACGAAAUUAUUAUUGAAAUAUUAAUAAUGAAGGUGGAUUUGAUAGUAAUUUAACAUAUUUAAUUUAAUUGAUAUUGGCUCUGAGGUGUGUACAUAUCGCCCC